UUGGGCUUAAAGUGCGUGUAGGCGGCCUUGUAAGUCAGAUGUGAAAGCCCACGGCUUAACCGUGGAACUGCAUUUGAAACUGCUUGGCUAGAGUACGGGAGAGGGUGGCGGAAUUCCCGGUGUAGGAGUGAAAUCCGUAGAUAUCGGGAGGAACACCAGUGGCGAAGGCGGCCACCUGGACCGUAACUGACGCUGAGACGCGAAAGCGUGGGGAGCAAACAGGAUUAGAUACCCCGUA
This 238-nucleotide ribosomal RNA is filed under the name uncultured Pseudomonadota bacterium. RNAcentral's name for it is "uncultured proteobacterium partial 16S ribosomal RNA". It matches the Rfam family "Bacterial small subunit ribosomal RNA", at positions 554 to 791 of the family's 1533-position model. The record is from RNAcentral. Lineage: Bacteria; Pseudomonadati; Pseudomonadota.